RNAcentral lists this ribosomal RNA (574 nucleotides) under Diaporthe betulae. RNAcentral describes it as "eukaryotic LSU rRNA". It matches the Rfam family "Eukaryotic large subunit ribosomal RNA", at positions 56 to 655 of the family's 3401-position model. The record is from RNAcentral. Lineage: Eukaryota; Fungi; Ascomycota; Sordariomycetes; Diaporthales; Diaporthaceae.
GAAAAGAAACCAACAGGGAUUGCCCUAGUAACGGCGAGUGAAGCGGCAACAGCUCAAAUUUGAAAUCUGGCUUCGGCCCGAGUUGUAAUUUGCAGAGGAUGCUUCUGGCGCGGUGCCUUCCGAGUUCCCUGGAACGGGACGCCACAGAGGGUGAGAGCCCCGUAUGGUCGGACACCAAGCCUGUGUGAAGCUCCUUCGACGAGUCGAGUAGUUUGGGAAUGCUGCUCUAAAUGGGAGGUAAAUCUCUUCUAAAGCUAAAUACCGGCCAGAGACCGAUAGCGCACAAGUAGAGUGAUCGAAAGAUGAAAAGCACCUUGAAAAGGGGGUUAAAUAGUACGUGAAAUUGUUGAAAGGGAAGCACUUAUGACCAGACUUGGGCCGGGCGGCUCAUCAGGGGUUCUCCCCUGUGCACUCCGCCCGGCACAGGCCAGCAUCGGUUCUCGUGGGGGGAUAAGACCGUCAGGAACGUAGCACCCUCCGGGGUGUGUUAUAGCCUGGCGGACGAUACCCCCGUGGGGACCGAGGUCCGCGCUCCGCAAGGAUGCUGGCGUAAUGGUCAUCAGUGACCCGUCUU